GACGAACGCUGGCGGCGUGCCUAAUACAUGCAAGUAGAACGCUGAAGAGAGGAGCUUGCUCUUCCUGGAUGAGUUGCGAACGGGUGAGUAACGCGUAGGUAACCUGCCUUGUAGCGGGGGAUAACUAUUGGAAACGAUAGCUAAUACCGCAUAACAAUGGAUGACACAUGUCAUUUAUUUGAAAGGGGCAAUUGCUCCACUACAAGAUGGACCUGCGUUGUAUUAGCUAGUAGGUGAGGUAAUGGCUCACCUAGGCGACGAUACAUAGCAGACCUGAGAGGGGGAUCGGCCAAACUGGGACGGAGAAACGGCCCAGACCCCUACGGGAGGCAGCAGUAGGGAAUCUUCGGCAAUGGGGGCAACCCUGAACGAGCAACGCCGCGGGAGUGAAGAAGGGUGUCGGAUCGUAAAGCUCUGUUGUAAGUCAAGAACGGGUGUGAGAGUGGAAAGUUCACACUGUGACGGUAGCUUACCAGAAAGGGACGGCUAACUACGUG
This 497-nucleotide ribosomal RNA is filed under the name uncultured bacterium. RNAcentral's name for it is "partial 16S ribosomal RNA". It matches the Rfam family "Bacterial small subunit ribosomal RNA", at positions 28 to 507 of the family's 1533-position model. The record is from RNAcentral.